Molecule: unclassified non-coding RNA, 4059 nt
Filed under: Penaeus chinensis
Lineage: Eukaryota; Metazoa; Arthropoda; Malacostraca; Decapoda; Penaeidae
Description: uncharacterized LOC125026341, transcript variant X2
Source: RNAcentral
UCGGGGCGAGUGCCAAGUUUGUGGCAGAGGCAGGCAGAGAGGGAGGGGUCCUGGCACUGUGCUGGGGGUCGCCACCUGCCCAGCCCAGGCACUCCCGUUCGCGACCCGCACAUAGCAAGUUAUUGUUUUACUAUCUAUAACGAAUGAAUUGUUACUGUGGAAGCAUAUCGCAGGACAAGCGAGAUAUAUUUUCCCUUAGCUUCUGAAUCUCGGUGCCGACGAGAUCCCUGGAGCCAAGGAAGCUCGAAAACUGGUUCAUAACAUUUGAAUCAACUCUUUCAAAGUCAACGGUAUUUGUGACUUUCCGAACGCAUUUCUGAGCUGUGUGGCCGUUGCUGAGAUCUCCGGCUGUUUUGAGCCUAUCAAAACGCGGAGGAGAUCCUUAGAGCUCCCUGAGUAAGACAUCAGCGAGCGAGCGAAGGAGGAGGAGGAGGAGGAGCCCUAGCCGGCCUCGCGAGGGCUGCGUGCGAGGAUGUUGGUGAGGCAGCGGGGAGCCUCGGUGCGGAAAGAGCAUCGCCUGCUGGAGGUCGAGUCUCCCCUCGACCUUACCCUCUGAGGCUCUGGCCUGAGGACCUCCCUCGGCGUCCGCGGCGGGACGAGGGGGACCUGUGAUUGGGUCUCCUCGCAGAACCUUUGCAAGGACCUUUUUGUUUUCUUCGGAGAGCUAGCGAAAGAGUCUUCAGGAUGGUGGGCCGACUGAUAGUUGAGGACGAAUACACGAUCAACGUGAAAGUGCGUCGCCCGCUGGGGGAGGAGGCGUGCCUGGCCCCGCCCACGAUCACCAUCACACCUGACUCGUCCCUCAUCACCCUCACGCCCCCUGACAACUCAACCCUCACCUACGCCCACGCCUCCAAGAGUGUCAAUGGCUCAACGCCCAUGGCAGUUGGCUGCAGCACUCUGCCCCGCAGCUCCACCUCCUCGCGUGGCUCCUGGGCCACGCUGCCGCACCCGAGCCGCCACGCCGCCGGCGCCAAGCCCAGCGGCAGCGGCCUCGAAGUGGCGCUCGCCAGCAAGGGGGACCCGCCCGCCAGGAACUACGUGGGCCUUUCCCUGAACAAAAGUCUGGGGAAGCAAGUGUACGACGGCAAAGAGGCUCUGGUGCUCCGGCAGCAGCAGAUCAUGCCGCCGCCGCCCCCUGAGCGCCGCGCGCCCCCAGGGCUGCUGCCACUGACGGCGCCGUUGUCGCCGUGCUCGCCGGACCUGCCUCUGUCCCCGCCAGCCAGCGUGACGCACGGCUGCCUGCCGCUCCCCAUCAUCCAGGUCUUCGCCGACGACAGCAGUCACGUGGCCACCAACAGGUUCGUCGCGCCCCCGAAAGCAGUGUCCCCGCACGAGGGCGUGAGGCGACAGGGCUCUCCGCGGCCCGUUGACCGCUCGGCCAGCCACACUGCCGCAGGCUGCCUGUACGUGCCGCGGAUUCCCGAGCAUUGCAAGUCGGACAACGGCAUGCUGUACGUUCCGCCCGUGGACGAGCAGAACCUGCGGCAGUCCAAGAAGGACGGGCCGCCGGCCAAAGGGAACUCGCGGCGCAAGAAGGCCAUCGAGGCCAGCCCGGACUCGCAGGGGCUGACGCCGACCGGGGCGCCCGCUCUCCUCCCCGGCAGGGAGCACCCCUCCUCAGACGUCUUCGCACGGCCGCCUCCGGACGCCGUGCCCCCGAGGACGGCCUCCUCCAAGGCUGCCGCUCGGGCUAUUCUGGCCGGCGUCCUGGGGCCUCGGAUGGACCUCGGUUCCCCCGACGGCCACGACUACGGCACGCUCAACAGCAACCGCAACUACGGCAACAUCGAGUUUCGAUCUCCGUCUCCCCGCCCGACCCUGCGUCAGAUUUGUUACAACAACAACAAUGACGACUACGACGGCAGCACCAACAACAACCGCAACAACCAGUACUUGACUGAAGAAUCCUACAACAACAGCCUCAACAAUUACAAAAGCAACCGGACUUCCCCCUUCAGCAGCCCCGGGAAGCGUUCGCCAGAGAAUGAAGGUGAACGUGUCGUGGAAGUGUAUGGAGGGGUGACAAACCACGCCCACGCGCCGCCCACGACCGUGAGUGGGCGUAGCGGCCAUGUCGACCCGUCACACCCACAGCUGGUAGACCCCGCCCUCCUCACCUCGCUAGACCUGGAGAGUGACCACGCCGCCCCCGCCCACGAGAUGUUGGUGACAGACGCCCCCCACUCAACACGCCCGCAUGACCUCAACCACAACAACCACGCCUUCGGGCACAAGUCUUCAGAGGACCACGUGAGCGGCCGCGCAGCGAAGUACAUGGUGACGGAGUCGGGCGACCUGGCCGGCCACGACAACUAUGCCUUCGACCACGACAUCCUUUCGGGCCAGGACAACUACGGCUACGACCCCGGCUACAGCUCCGAGAGGUCCCCAGAGGACGAGGAGGGGCCGCCCCUCUACUGCUCCUCCUCUUCGCCCGCCUCCUCCUCCGCCGCCGUCGCCGCCCAGCGAGAGAGGAGCCCCAGGGAACUGAGGGACCGCAACUCGCUGAAGGUGGCCCCGGGGGAGAUCAUUAACACCCUGGAGGUCAUGCGGCUGGUCCCCUUCAUCACCGAAGGUACAACUUUCCAAGUGACGGUCAUCAAGAACCUCCGAGGCCUGGGCUUGGCCGUGACGGGCGGCAUCGAGUGCGACCUCCCCUACGCGGGCCUCAUACGCAUCAAGAAGCUCUACCCGCAGACGCCGGCCUGGCUCUGCGGUCAGCUGGAGGUGGGGGACAUUCUCCUGCAGGCCAAUGACAAUCCAUUAACAGGACUGACGAGUCACGAGGCAUUAGAAAUGCUCCGCACCGUCGGCCAGGAGGUGACUCUGGAGAUCUGCCGGCCGCCCCCUGGCACCAUGGGGGACGGCGAGGACCUCCCUGACGGCGGCAACACCCUCGGCGUCGUGAGCACCAGCCUCACCACGCCCAACACUAGUCACAACUACCUCUCCCCAUCGCCUUCCUUCUCCUCAUGCGGGGAGUUUGAGGUGCAGCUAACCAAAGUUGCCGGUUCCUUAGGCUUCACACUGCGCAAACAAGACAACAGUAUCUUGGGACACACCAUUCGGAGUCUGGUCAAGGAGCCUGCAAUUUCAGAUGGCAGAUUACGACCCGGAGAUAAGAUAAUUUCGGUUAACAACACAGAUAUGUGUAGCCUGAGUCAUGAGGAAGCUAUAGGCUUCUUACGCACAUGUCCUGAGACUGUUACUCUUAGAUUAUAUAGGGAUGCCAUGCAAACGCCAGUGUCGCCAGUCUCCCCCACGGAACCUGACAUCCUCGCGAAGCCUAAGCCUCUUCGCAAAGAAGCCAGGGACAUGCUCAGUGACUUGGCUUUCAGAAAACAGUCUCCCAGUAAUUCGCCUAGCUUAGCUGGGGCCUCGGGUUCCCCGGGUACCCCCAGAAGACGUAGGCUCCAGAAGACCCCGAGUCCAGAUAUCAAGAGUGUAGUCAUAGAUAGAUGGGACUCGUUGGUGAGAAAAACCGAAGAAUCUCUGCCUGGUACUCCGACUCUCGAAAAGAAAACGUCGCUCAACAGCAUACGAGAGACGGACCACGAGGUCUCCCCGUUCGGCGACAGCCAGACGGACGACUCCCUCUCCACCACCAUCCGCUCACGAAACUCGUCCGCGUCGUCGUCCUCGCUCACCGCCUCCAACUCCGAGUCGAGACCGAAGAGACCCAGCUUCCUCGACCUGAGCAACGGGCGUGGCUGUCCUCGCAAGACACAGUUCACGCCCCCGCACGAGGUAGACCGGUCGUUUCCAUCCCCGCUCGGAGAUGGUGACAAUAGAGCUUAACCGCGGAUGGAACAGUCGUCUAGGCUUUUCGUUGCAACCAAAGGGGGAGAGCACUGUUAUCAAGGCCAUAUAUGCAGACAGUGUUGCAGCCAAAGAUGGACGACUGAAAAUGGGGGAUAUUGUUGUAAAGGUGAAUGGCAUUGACGUGGUAGGAUGGGAAACUGAAUCUGUAAUUGAUCUGCUUCGUAAGACAAGAGGGAAAAUUUCGGUCACUGUUCUUCAGCCACUGAGUUGAACCCAAGCCUACUAAUGGUAGAG